Non-coding RNA from Phascolarctos cinereus (koala), 541 nucleotides. Lineage: Eukaryota; Metazoa; Chordata; Mammalia; Diprotodontia; Phascolarctidae. The record is from RefSeq and is a predicted model, not a curated record.
CUGAUUUCUUGGAAAAGCUUUAAAAAAAUACAUGAUCAAGAUUAUUUUGUUAAUUAUUCAACUGGUGAAACUUAGGAACUGUCUUUCCUUGGCCUCUGGGAAAUCUGCUAAUGAAAAAUGACAGUCCUGGGUGAGGCGUCUAAAGACCCAAGUUUAAGUUCCAGUUCCGCUACUACAACAUUGGAUAAAACACAACCUUCACUUGGCUUCAAUUUCUUUUUAUGCAAAACAAAGCAGUUGGGUUCAUGAUCUUCAAGUCCCUUCAAGGUCUAUCAAUAUGUGAAUCUAUGACUGAAAUGUUCAGAAGAUUGGUACUCUACCCCAGAUACCCACUGCUACCUGACUUCAAAGUGAAGAAAGGUCUCUCCCUUCCUUGAAAAGAUUUCUCCAUCGAAGUCCUACUCCAGUGCUUCAUGAUGGAGACCCUAGUUUCUUGAAGACUGAAAAGAACCCAAGGUUUACAGAAUAUUUUCCUCACAACUGUGCUUGGAAAUAGGUACUACCAAUUUUGCAGAAGAAAAAAAAAACUAUGCCCGGAGAG